GUAUCGAUAGCUCAGCGGCAGAGCGGUGGGGCGUUUACCCAUGCGGCCCGGGUUCGAUCCCCGGUCGAUGCA
This is a non-coding RNA of Phthorimaea operculella (potato tuberworm), 72 nucleotides long. The record is from the annotation of a GenBank genome assembly. Lineage: Eukaryota; Metazoa; Arthropoda; Insecta; Lepidoptera; Gelechiidae.